GAUGAACGCUGGCGGCGUGCCUAAUACAUGCAAGUCGAGCGAACGGACGAGAAGCUUGCUUCUCUGAUGUUAGCGGCGGACGGGUGAGUAACACGUGGAUAACCUACCUAUAAGACUGGGAUAACUUCGGGAAACCGGAGCUAAUACCGGAUAAUAUUUUGAACCGCAUGGUUCAAAAGUGAAAGACGGUCUUGCUGUCACUUAUAGAUGGAUCCGCGCUGCAUUAGCUAGUUGGUAAGGUAACGGCUUACCAAGGCAACGAUGCAUAGCCGACCUGAGAGGGUGAUCGGCCACACUGGAACGGAGACACGGUCCAGACUCCUAAGGGAGGCAGCAGUAGGGAAUCUUCCGCAAUGGGCGAAAGCCUGACGGAGCAACGCCGCGUGAGUGAUGAAGGUCUUCGGAUCGUAAAACUCUGUUAUUUGGGAAGAACAUAUGUGUAAGUAACUGUGCACAUCUUGACGGUACCUAAUCAGAAAGCCACGGCUAACUACGUG
Molecule: ribosomal RNA, 497 nt
Filed under: uncultured bacterium
Lineage: Bacteria
Description: partial 16S ribosomal RNA
Rfam family: Bacterial small subunit ribosomal RNA
Source: RNAcentral